Molecule: ribosomal RNA, 446 nt
Filed under: uncultured bacterium
Lineage: Bacteria
Description: partial 16S ribosomal RNA
Rfam family: Bacterial small subunit ribosomal RNA
Source: RNAcentral
CCUACGGGUGGCAGCAGUCGAGAAUCAUUCACAAUGGGGGAAACCCUGAUGGUGCGACGCCGCGUGGGGGAAUGAAGGUCUUCGGAUUGUAAACCCCUGUCAUGUGGGAGCAAAUUAAAAAGAUAGUACCACAAGAGGAAGAGACGUCUAACUCUGUGCCAGCAGCCGCGGUAAUACAGAGGUCUCAAGCGUUGUUCGGAAUCACUGGGCGUAAAGCGUGCGUAGGCUGUUUCGUAAGUCGUGUGUGAAAGGGGGGGGCUCAACCCGCGGACGGCACAUGAUACUGCGAGACUAGAGUGAUGGAGGGGGAACGGGAAUUCGUGGUGUAGCAGUGAAAUGCGUAGAUAUCGAGAGGAACACUCGUGGCGAAGGCGGGUUCCUGGACAUUAACUGACGCUGAGGCACGAAGGCCAGGGGAGCGAAAGGGAUUAGAUACCCGGGUAGUC